UUCUGGAGAUAUGAGCUGAUCUAAUCACUGAAGAUAAGCAACAUCAGGUCUGGUCAGUAUAGAGAUGUGAGGGAUCUCCAAGAAAAACACAGGUGCUCCAGGAA
Molecule: ribosomal RNA, 104 nt
Filed under: Anas platyrhynchos platyrhynchos (common mallard)
Lineage: Eukaryota; Metazoa; Chordata; Aves; Anseriformes; Anatidae
Source: RNAcentral